ACAUGCAAGUCGAGCGAGAACCAGGACUUCGGUCCUGGGGACUGCGGCGAACGGGUGAGUAACACGUGGGUAAUCUGCCCUCGAUUCUGGGAUAGCCCGGGGAAACUCGGAUUAAUACCGGAUAGCCUUUCGAGCCUUCGGGCGCGAAAGAAAAGGUAGCUUCGGCCUCCGAUCGAGGAUGAGCCCGCGGUGGAUUAGCUUGUUGGCGGGGUAAUGGCCCACCAAGGCGACGAUCCAUAGCUGGUCUGAGAGGACGAUCAGCCACACUGGGACUGAGACACGGCCCAGACUCCUACGGGAGGCAGCAGUGGGGAAUCUUGCGCAAUGGGCGAAAGCCUGACGCAGCGACGCCGCGUGGGGGAAGAAGGCCUUAGGGUUGUAAACCUCUUUCAGGUGGGACGAAGCCACUCGGGUGAAUAGCCCAGAGGGUGACGGUACCGCCAGAAGAAGCCCCGGCUAACUACGUGCCAGCAGCCGCGGUAAUACGUAGGGGGCAAGCGUUGUCCGGAUUUAUUGGGCGUAAAGAGCGUGUAGGCGGCCAGGUAGGUGGGUUGUGAAAACUGGAGGCUCAACCUUCAGACGUCGACCCAAACCCCCUGGCUAGAGUCCGGAAGAGGAGAGUGGAAUUCCUGGUGUAGCGGUGAAAUGCGCAGAUAUCAGGAAGAACACCCGUGGCGAAGGCGGCUCUCUGGGACGGUACUGACGCUGAGACGCGAAAGCGUGGGGAGCGAACAGGAUUAGAUACCCUGGUAG
RNAcentral lists this ribosomal RNA (753 nucleotides) under metal-contaminated soil clone K20-25. RNAcentral describes it as "bacterial SSU rRNA". It matches the Rfam family "Bacterial small subunit ribosomal RNA", at positions 53 to 793 of the family's 1533-position model. Lineage: Bacteria; Bacillati; Actinomycetota; Actinomycetes. The record is from RNAcentral.